AUGAACGUAAGGUCUCAAUCAUUUUAUAUCUGCUCUGUCUUGUACUCCUUACAAUGGUCACCCUCAGCCGGUUGAAGCAAUCCACCAUAGCCACGAGUUUUGUGGUUGCAUCUAUGUGUGAAGAGCAUGGAGCACAAUGCUUCGGAAUGGAUGCACUGAGCUGAUUUUAGCUUUUGCCGUAAUUAAGAUUAUGUUGCCUCUGUGUCAGGAAAGAGAACAAAAGUGGACCCACUUGCGCUGAUUUAACACUUUCCAUGGUCACGAGCUCUAUGGUUGCAUAUGUGUGCUAGGAGCGUGGAGACCAAU
Long non-coding RNA from Zalophus californianus (California sea lion), 306 nucleotides. RefSeq lists it as uncharacterized. Lineage: Eukaryota; Metazoa; Chordata; Mammalia; Carnivora; Otariidae. The transcript is spliced from 3 exons. The record is from RefSeq and is a predicted model, not a curated record.